RNAcentral lists this transfer RNA (62 nucleotides) under Dipylidium caninum. RNAcentral's name for it is "tRNA-Thr". The record is from RNAcentral. Lineage: Eukaryota; Metazoa; Platyhelminthes; Cestoda; Cyclophyllidea; Dipylidiidae.
GAUCAUUUAGUUUAUUUAAAAUGUGGAUUUUGUAAAUCUAAGAUAGCUGUUGUUAUUGAUCU